Molecule: ribosomal RNA, 114 nt
Filed under: uncultured bacterium
Lineage: Bacteria
Description: partial 16S ribosomal RNA
Rfam family: Bacterial small subunit ribosomal RNA
Source: RNAcentral
UUCCCGGGCCUUGUACACACCGCCCGUCACACCACGUAAGUUGGCAAUACCCGAAGCCGGUGGCCUAACCCGCAAGGGAGGGAGCCGUCUAAGGUAGGGUCGAUGAUUGGGGUG